RNAcentral lists this ribosomal RNA (430 nucleotides) under uncultured bacterium. RNAcentral's name for it is "bacterial SSU rRNA". It matches the Rfam family "Bacterial small subunit ribosomal RNA", at positions 30 to 479 of the family's 1533-position model. The record is from RNAcentral.
AUUGAACGCUGGCGGCAUGCCUUACACAUGCAAGUCGAACGGCAGCACGGACUUCGGUCUGGUGGCGAGUGGCGAACGGGUGAGUAAUGCAUCGGAACGUGUCAUUGAGUGGGGGAUAACGUAGCGAAAGUUGCGCUAAUACCGCAUAUUCUGUGAGCAGGAAAGCAGGGGACCGCAAGGCCUUGCGCUCUUUGAGCGGCCGAUGUCAGAUUAGCUAGUUGGUGAGGUAAAGGCUUACCAAGGCGACGAUCUGUAGCGGGUCUGAGAGGAUGAUCCGCCACACUGGAACUGAGACACGGUCCAGACUCCUACGGGAGGCAGCAGUGGGGAAUUUUGGACAAUGGGGGCAACCCUGAUCCAGCCAUGCCGCGUGAGUGAAGAAGGCCUCGGUUGUAAAGCUCUUUACCCGGGUACUGAUAAUGACAGUACC